UGACCGGUUAUGGUGCCAAAGUCAUCCUUUCAAGCCAUCUAGUAUAGAAUCUAUCUCUAUGUAUCGAUUUCAUGUAUUUUUAGUUUCUGGUUGUGUCUUAUUUUGAUCUUUGGAUUAUAUUCUUGCCAUUGGUGGCUUUGAUUUGGAGAGGUACAUUUGUUCUUGUUUCUUAUUUUUCAAUUGUUUUAGAAAAAAGGAAUUAUUAGUGUAGGCACAAUGAGUUUUGUUUUAAUCUUGUCGAUCCUGCAAAUUGGUACAUAUACUUGAUUUAUUUUCAUUUUUUUUGUUGACCAUAUACUGAAAUCAUUCUCAUUUCCUACCAAAUACAUUUAAAAACUUUUGGUGUCUUUCUCUUCUUAAUGUGUCUAAUUGUCUAGUUUUUUUAAAAAAAUUUACAACUCACUCUUCUAUCUAAGUGUUUAGUUUUUAUCUAAUCCUCUAAGUUGUACUCACAUUUUUCUUCCCUUGUCAAGUGCCUUGUUUUGUUGCCACUUACUGUCAUGAGCUUAAGUGGAUGGUUAAAUAUUUCUUCUUUAUUUAAUAUAUUGUUAUGCUCUCCCUGUCCAAACCUGAAUAUAUGAUUUAUGCAUGUCUUCUUGAUCUUUNNNNNNNNNNNNNNNNNNNNNNNNNNNNNNNNNNNNNNNNNNNNNNNNNNNNNNAGUUAUGAGCUCAUGACUCAUUGUAAACUUAUUUUCAUAUUCUUCUGGCUCUGUUUGGACCUUUUAAUAUGAUAUAAUUUUCAUAUUGUUCUCAUUAUUAUACUCCUUGUUUGUUUGUUUGUUUGGUUUUUUUUUGUUGAUAUGGUCAUUGUUCGUGGUCAUGGUAUGAUUGAACCUACCUAAUAGAGCUUAUUUGGAACAUCUUUGGGAUGAUUUCUCUGGGUUUUUGAGGAUUAAUUUUUUUUUUAUAAAAAAAGCAAAGACUCUUCAUUCAAACAGUCCUUAAACAGAAAUAAUCAUGUCUACCACAGAAACAUGUUCCAAUUUUUGAACACAAAAUAAGUAAUAUGUGACUACAAUGAGAGAUACUCUUAGCAUCGCAUGUCUUUGAUUUAAGCAACUGUCAUGUUAAUUUAGAAUGUGUGGCUUAACUUGAGUGUAUUGUCCGAAAACAGGUUGAUGUGAGAUUUAGGAGGAGGGUGUAUGAGCUUAUGUCCCUUUCAAAUAAUAUGUGGAAUUUUAGAAGUAUGAGGGUGUCAAGUGAAUGAGUGGUAAAAAGCUUAAUUUUUGUGUGAAUAUAUUUUUUUGCUCAAGUUUAAAUGAUUAAGAAUGGUUUAAUAAACUCACUUUCCUUUAUUGGUGGUGUAGGCUUCAUUGGUAGUGUAUGCUCUUCUUAAAUCCUGUUGCUCCUUCCUUCCUUUGCAGGUAAACAUCUUCUAGUCCAAUCCUAAAAGAAAUUUUUUGGCACACAUUUGAAUUUUUUUUUUAGUUAUGUUCAUAAAUUACAAAAAUAAACCAUAAAUUUACUUACCUAUUAGAGAAUAUCAGGGAGUUAUAAAUGUAGAAGCAACACAUGCAUCUAUGAAAUUUGAGUUUCCACUUUGUUAACAUUCUUGAUUGAUAUGUAUGUCAAUGUUUCUAAGGAACAAAUAAUAACUAAUUGGAAACUUCUAUGAACUUUGUAUGGUUGUGCAUCUCAAUGNNNNNNNNNNNNAUGUUUUCAUUGUCUAUUUGCAGAAAAGUAAUUGUUAAUAGAUUGCACCACAAAUUAUUUGGUAUGACUCAAAUUCUUUUACUAAUGACAUAUUCAUGUAAUACCAAAUUAAAUUUGAUAGAAAAUCAUUUCUUUACCUUUGUGAAACACAAGUAAGAUCCUUGAAAGAAGUGAGGCUCACCUAUAAAAAAAAAUCAAAGAACAAAAAUUACAAAAUUUAAGUCUCAAACAAAGUAACAUAAUAAAUUGGAUUUGGAUCCUCUCCUUUUAUUGUUCUUAGCCUCAUGCUUUGUUCAUAUAUUCAUGCUCCACUAAAAGAUUGACUGUGAAUGGAGAUCUAAUUAAAUGAUUUUAGCAUUUUCAGGCUCAAGAAAUCAAUGUAAACAAACAAAAACGAAAUGAAGAUUGGUCAUGUUAUGGCUGUUUAGUGGUAAAGGAAGCUGAAUGAAGGGAUGGUUGUUUAGUGCUGAAGGAAGAUGAAUGAAGAGAAGACUAUAUAUUGUUAAAAUUUUGUUCUAAUAAUACCAAAUUGUCCUUCUACUUGGUCUCCAAGAUUUGUUGUUAUUAGUAUAAAUGUGUAAUAAGAUGGGGAGGAGCGUCAAGAGACUUUUGUUCCAAUCCAAACUCUUGGCAUUACACAUAAAGACAAAAUUUGUAAGGAUAAUAAUAUAAAAUCAUUUAGAAGAAGUACAACAAAACACUAGACAUGAGCUGACAUUGUGAGGAUAAACAAGUAAAACAAAAGUGAUAAAAAUAAAAGUGGGAGUUUUGUUGUAACAAAAAUAAACGAAAAUGAAAAAUUAAUAGGGGCUAUCUAGGUAGUGGGGUCCACUCCAAAGUGGGACACUCCCUAUAAAAAACUUUUUCCCAAAUUUGAAAGCUAACUUUGGAUGUGGCUUCAUUUGGAGUAAAAUAGCAAUCACUUAUGCCACCACGUGUCAACAAUUUCAAUGAACAGUGCUUUUAAGGCACUAAGCAGUUUUCCUCUAUUAUAAGGGUUUUUGAUUAUAUGAUAUAUUUGAUUCAAUAAAAAUAAAUAAAUUCAUGAUAUAUGUUGCAAUAUGUAAUGUACUUUUUCAGGUCU
Molecule: long non-coding RNA, 2737 nt
Filed under: Trifolium pratense (red clover)
Lineage: Eukaryota; Viridiplantae; Streptophyta; Magnoliopsida; Fabales; Fabaceae
Description: long non-coding RNA (TPRA_LNC000794)
Source: RNAcentral